UAAAAGGUGUUUCUCAGCACCAUUAAAAUUGUCAAUAAAUAGCAUG
Non-coding RNA from Struthio camelus australis, 46 nucleotides. Lineage: Eukaryota; Metazoa; Chordata; Aves; Struthioniformes; Struthionidae. The record is from Rfam.